This is a small nuclear RNA of Vulpes vulpes (red fox), 107 nucleotides long. The record is from Ensembl. NCBI's taxonomy places the organism in Eukaryota, Metazoa, Chordata, Mammalia, Carnivora, Canidae.
GUGCUUGUUUUGGCAGCACAUAUACUAAAAUUGGAACAAUACACAAGGAGAUUAGCAUUGCCCUGCACAAGGAUGACAUGCAAAUUCAUGAAGUAUUCCUUAUUUAU